AUGGAGAUUGCCAUGGGGGCUAUUGGCCCUCUCCUCCCGAAGCUCAGUGAGCUGCUCAUGGGAGAGCUCACCAUGGAGAAACAAGUGAGGAAAGGCAUCGAGUCUCUCAUGGUAGAGCUCACAUUGAUGCAUGCUGCCCUGAGUAAGGUGGCAGAAGUUCCCGUGGACCAGCUUCACAAGGGGGUCAAGAUUUGGGCAGGAAAUGUCAAGGAGUUGUCAUACCAAAUGGAGGAAAUUGUUGAUGUUUUCAUGGUGCGCGUGGGGGAUGGUGGCAAACCUGCCAACCCAAAGAACAAAGUCAAGAAGAUACUCAAGAAGGUUAAAAGAUUAUUCAAGAAUGGCAAGGACCUCCAUCAGAUCUCUGAUGCUCUAAAAGAAGCGGUUCAUCAAGCUAAGCUGUUGGCCGAGCUGCGCCAAAGGUAUGAGCAAGGGAUGCGAGAUCCUAGCACUAGUGCUAGUGUUGACCCUCGCAUGAUGGCCCUAUACACAGAUGUGUCUGAACUCGUCGGCAUUGAUGAAACACGAGAUGAGUUGAUAAACAUGUUGAUUGAAGGUGAUGAUUGGUUGAAGCAUCCAUUGAAGACAGUCUCUAUUGUUGGAUUUGGUGGGUUGGGCAAGACAACUCUUGCCAAAUCAGCGUAUGAGAAGAUCAAAGGGCAAUUCGAUUAUGAUGCUUUUAUUUCGGUUUCUCAGAAUCCCAGCAAGAAGAAAGUCUUCAAGAAUAUUCUCUAUGAACUUGACAAGAGCAAGUAUGCACGCAAUCAUAGUGAGGAAUGGGAAGAAAAUCAUCUGGUCGAUGAAAUAAUUGAAUUCCUUAAUGGCAAGAGGUACCUCAUCAUAAUUGAUGACAUAUGGGAUACAGAAGUGUGA
This 870-nucleotide ribosomal RNA is filed under the name Triticum aestivum (bread wheat). Its description in RNAcentral is "partial small subunit ribosomal RNA". Lineage: Eukaryota; Viridiplantae; Streptophyta; Magnoliopsida; Poales; Poaceae. The record is from RNAcentral.